UUUCCAGACUCCUACGGGAGGCAGCAGUGGGGAAUAUUGGGCAAUGGAGGAAACUCUUACCCAGCAAUGCCGCGUGAAUGAAGAAGGUCUUCGGAUUGUAAAGUUCUUUAAUUGGGGACGAAAAAAAUGACGGUACCCAAGGAAUAAGCCCCGGCUAACUACGUGCCAGCAGCCGCGGUAAUACGUAGGGGGCAAGCGUUAUCCGGAUUUACUGGGUGUAAAGGGGGCGCAGACGGCAGCGCAAGCCAGGAGUGAAAGCCCGGGGCCCAACCCCGGGACUGCUCUUGGAACUGCGCGGCUGGAGUGCAGGAGGGGCAGGCGGAAUUCCUGGUGUAGCGGUGAAAUGCGUAGAUAUCAGGAGGAACACCGGUGGCGAAGGCGGCCUGCUGGACUGCGACUGACGUUGAGGCCCGAAAGCGUGGGGAGCAAACAGGAUUAGAUACCCCCGUA
This 450-nucleotide ribosomal RNA is filed under the name uncultured bacterium. Its description in RNAcentral is "bacterial SSU rRNA". It matches the Rfam family "Bacterial small subunit ribosomal RNA", at positions 328 to 792 of the family's 1533-position model. The record is from RNAcentral.